This 253-nucleotide ribosomal RNA is filed under the name uncultured bacterium. Its description in RNAcentral is "partial 16S ribosomal RNA". It matches the Rfam family "Bacterial small subunit ribosomal RNA", at positions 524 to 776 of the family's 1533-position model. The record is from RNAcentral.
CACGUAGGGCGCAAGCGUUGUCCGGAAUUAUUGGGCCUAAAGCAUCCGUAGCCGGUUCUACAAGUCUUCCGUUAAAUCCACCUGCUUAACAGAUGGGCUGCGGAGGAUACUAUGGAGCUAGGAGGCGGGAGAGGCAAGCGGUACUUAGUGGGUAGGGGUAAAAUCCGUUGAUCCAUUGAAGACCACCAGUGGCGAAGGCGGCUUGCCAGAACGCACUCGACGGUGAGGGAUGAAAGCUGGGGGAGCAAACCGG